CACGUAGGCGGGUUCUUAAGUCAGGGGUGAAAUCCUGGAGCUCAACUCCAGAACUGCCUUUGAUACUGAGGAUCUCGAGUUCGGGAGAGGUGAGUGGAACUGCGAGUGUAGAGGUGAAAUUCGUAGAUAUUCGCAAGAACACCAGUGGCGAAGGCGGCGUUCUGGACUGCAACUGACACUGAAGAACGAAAGCCAGGGGAGCAAACG
Molecule: ribosomal RNA, 207 nt
Filed under: uncultured bacterium
Lineage: Bacteria
Description: partial 16S ribosomal RNA
Rfam family: Bacterial small subunit ribosomal RNA
Source: RNAcentral